Molecule: transfer RNA, 72 nt
Filed under: Balamuthia mandrillaris
Lineage: Eukaryota; Discosea; Longamoebia; Balamuthiidae
Description: tRNA-His
Rfam family: tRNA
About the family: Transfer RNA (tRNA) molecules are approximately 80 nucleotides in length. Their secondary structure includes four short double-helical elements and three loops (D, anti-codon, and T loops).
Source: RNAcentral
GCGAGUAUAGCUUAGUUGGUAGAGUGUUGGUUUGUGGCACCGAAGAGAUGAGUUCGAUUCUCAUUACUCGCC